Molecule: long non-coding RNA, 5183 nt
Filed under: Strigops habroptila (Kakapo)
Lineage: Eukaryota; Metazoa; Chordata; Aves; Psittaciformes; Psittacidae
Description: lncRNA (ENSSHBG00005018027.1)
Source: RNAcentral
GGAGACACAUGGCUAUGGUGCCACACACAGAAAUCAAGCUUUGCAUCUUGCUUCCAAUUGCUGUUGUAUAGCUACCAGACACCAAACCACGGAGCUCGCAGGGGCUAACCUGUUUACAAGAGGUGCGCUGAUUCCUGUGGUUUCACAAGUUCCUUGGAAAGAUGUCUGAAGAGGCUUUCCGUCACCGACACGAACAAAGGCAGGCUUCCCAAGGUCUUUCCCAUGGCUACAGAAAUGAUCCAGAGGUUUCCCCAUGCAGGAAUUCAUGGUAGAGGCAGAGAUUGGCAAGUGUCAUGAGAAGAAGUUGCUGGUGGUGCUCCUGAGCUUGUGUCCACUGCAAGUGGCAGGUGAGAUGCAAAUACUUGCAGCAGUGUGGUGCAGUGGCAUCUCUGUGUCCCUCACAGCGGGCCUGGGCAUGGAGGAGGGCUGUGGGAAGACACACCUGCCCAUCCCUACAAGCGGUGUUUGGUGCCAAGCCACAUGGAGCUGUCAUUUGGUUGAUGCCGCUUACUCACAAAUAUUGCUGCUGUCUGUGCUGGAUUUAAUUUUGGAGGGAUUGAAAGAAAGUACCUUGGGAAGGAUUGUACGAGGAGAAGUUGCAUAAACCUUUUUUCCUGACUCAACUUUGUUGUUUUCACAAAUGUGGAACACAUUUGGCCUGGCAUCCCAUUUGAUUUGUUUACUGCUUUUGUGUCCCACAUUUGCAGAGGCUUUCCAAACACAGACACUUCUCUCAUCUGGCCUCUGUCUGUCUUCUGCACAGAAACCUCAGUAUAGGUGGGUGGAGUACAUGUCCACGGCAUUUGGGUGGGCUGUGAAGGGGAACAUGGUGAACUUUUGGAAUAACCUGGGCUGUACUUCAAGCUUGCCCACGGUUCAAGUGUGGAAAUUAUGGGAUUUGUUUGGGAAAUGAUGUUAGGCAAUACCAGCUAUCAGCCCCUACCUUGGUUGCACACAGCUCGCUCUUUACAUGAUCCGCCCCUGGAUGUGGAAUAUUACAGCACUGUUACGAAUUAUUCAGUCUGUGUGCUUUGGAAAGUAUGCACCAUGGCUCGUUUUCAAACAUCACUUUUGUUAUAAACAUCAGUGGCUCCUACAGUGACCUGAAACUAGUCAGGUAGAAUUUAAAAGAGCAAAGAAUUUCACAGAUGGCUGAUUUGUUACUUCAUUGUGGUGUGUGUAAAUAGUUCUCUGCUUUAAAAAAUAUAUCCUUGCAUUCUAGAUAAGACUGUUACUAGUUUUUCGUACAACCGUAACUCCCACGUUAGGUGGGAUGUGUUUCAGUCAAAUCAAACUGAAAGAAGGAACAAACCCAUCCUCUCAGCCCAGCCUUUUUCCAGCCGGAGCCUUCUUCCUAACCACUGUUUCAUCUGGCCUUGCCCUUUUCAGAUAUGCUGAGAAUAAAGUCCUAGCUCCACUGUCCUUGCCACUUGGUAUAUCUGCCAGAAGGUUGGGAGACCUAAAAAGGGUAAUUUUUUUUCUGCAUAUACGCUGAGGCUUGUUGUAUAAACACUGUCAUACUGCAGCCUUUCAGAAAUGCAUUGGCUUCACUUAAACGCCUCUGUAACGGCCCAGAAGAAGAAACUUUUCCCCAGAAGCAGUUACCUAGCAUGCAUCAUUCUUGGCAGUAUCUGCAAAUAAACUUCUUGUAAUUGAUUUAAGAAUUUUCAAAUAAAAAAAUUAUGAUAGCUGCGGACAGCUAUAAAUAACAGAAAUGAAACACAUUAUUUGCACUGUGCCUUCACAUGCACUUGUUUAGCUCUUUCUCCUGUUAAGUUAAAACAUCUGUUUCUAUGGAAGUGGAGCGUUCCAUGCAACAAACACAGCACUGGAAGUGACCCACAUAUUAAAUGACAACAUUUGACAAAUUCUAGCAGUUGAUUACUGGGGAGGAGUAGACUGUGGUUAUAAUCAGAGUAAACCAAAAAAAUGUGUACCUUUAUAAACCUAGAUUUUAAAUGAAACAUCUGUACUAAAUCAUGUUUGUAGAACAGCACUGUAGCCAACUACCAGACCAUAUGAUAAUAGGGUGUUUUUAACAAUCCCUAUUUCCAUCACCAUCCUCCAAAUCAGAUCCAGACUAUGCCCAAUGGCAUGAAUUCUGCUGGAAACCAACUGAGAUAGCAUCAGGCUACAGCAGAUGCUGUCAGUUUAAGAUACAGAUACCCUUUAAAAGUUAGUGAUUGCAAUACCUCAUAGAGAUUAUAAGCACAGGUAGAAACUCAGUGAAUAUUGGGGUGCUUUGUAGGAAACAGCCUUUUCCAGGCGUAUUUUAACCAAGGCUUACACACUGGUAAAAGGUGGAUAUGGCAGGGGGGUUGGAACUAGAUGAUCUUAAGGUCCUUUCCAACCCUAACCAUUCCAUGAUGCUAUGAUAUGAUGCAGUGUCCAUGGAAUCUUAUUCUUAAGAACUGUGAGUGUGUAGCAAGAAAGUGGCUAUUCAAAUUGCAGCAGCAGGUCAGCUGGUGAUAAACCAAGAGUGCUCAGGCUGGCACCAAAGCCAGGUUUGGCAGCUCAUUUAAACACAAUUCUUUGGGUCUGUGAAACUGGUAUACAAAGGUCAAGUAAGUACAAUGUUCUUUGAGUGCUUCCUGUUGCUAUUAAGUGGAUACAAAACAAAAGAAAAUUAGUUUAGUCCACCUCUUUAUGUAGAUUCUUGAACUGAUAUUCAUUAGUAUAAUCUGAACAUACAGAUUUUCUUAUUACUGUGGAAUAUUCUCGGAAUUAAUUUAAAAAACAACUAAGUGUCCAAACCUUGUAUUAGCUUUACAUAGUCACUACAUUCUUUCCAAAACAUAAAAGGCAAACCCACCCUGCAAAUACAUUGUUAGUUUUAGAUGGCCUGCCAUUAAAAAGUUGCCAUUUUAUUAGGAAAACCUGUUCAGAAUUCCUUGACCAACAUAAGUGACACCCAAUAAAAACUGUAAUAUUGAAAGAGUGAAAUAUUACUUGAGUGACACUCAAGAAAUAAUAGUUAUUUGGCACAGGGGAAGUUCUCACUCUGAACAGAUAGAUGAGUGCCAUUUGACAGGAAUUAAAGGACAGGCUACAUUAACAGGGAACAAAUAAUAUUUUGAGUGGUGGUGUCAACAGUUGCAGUUAUAGGUUAGCAGGACAUACCUAAAAUACUAUAAUAAUGCAAUUAUCUCAUUACUUAGAGCUAACCUAGCAAGGCAUUAUGUCUAUAAGGAGUUAAUAGGAUUCUUAUUUAAGAACAAGGAACAAGUUUUUAAGAUAGCGUGAAAGUUAUACAAUGAGGAGGUAGGGAAAAAUCUGUACAGUAUUCAUCUUACAUUUUGAUGUAUUUUGAUGAUCCCAUACUUUGUUUUGAACAUUCUAUUUAAGUUUACUAAUAAUAUAUAAGAAGCUUAAAUACUUUCACCACCACCAUAAUAGAAAUUGUGACUGAUAAGUUACUGAAUUCAAGAAUAACAACAGGAAAGUGGACUACCAGUGUAACCAGUGUGCUUAAAUGUAGAGAAAAACUUGAAAUAAAAAGCUGAAUUGCUUUUUUUUUUUUUUUGAGCUAAACACAAAAUGGGGGGCAGAGAAUGUUAAAGCACAAAAGGCUUAGAAAUACAAGAUCAUCUUUGGUCUUAUGCUUUAUUAAAACAUUUUCAUAGAUUUAUAGAUGUUAUUGUCACAAGGGACUAUUAGAUCAUCUGGUGUGACUUGAUCUUGUAUAAAAGCAACGUCUAGAGUGUCCUCUGAGAGGGCUAUUCCUCAAUUUAUUUGAUACUGUAUAACUAAUAACUUACAGUGCUAUUAGACAAAAUGAAACCCUUUGUCAUCUAGAUCUUUAAUGAAAUAAUUCUCACAAUGUGUCUCUUGAAUACCCAUUUCUAUGAUGGCAUUUAUUUAAAAAUCCAAUACAAAACUUAAUUCCUAGUAUUUACCUGAGUUUCAAGUUGCUUGCUUCUGGUGUCAUAGCAUUGACAAAUAAAACCACUUGAUCUGGACCAUCUAAAUUUUCCCUAUUCUUUGGCUUCUUUCAGUGUCGGGCCAUCAGUAUAUAUUUCAGUAUAUUACUUUCUGAGUUAUUUAUAAUGGCACAGAUGAACUGUUGUAUAAAGUUGAAAAAAUACCUCUGAACCUGCCAACAUCAGUGUCUAGUUUCUUAAUACUAACCUUUUGGUUUGGAAGUGUUUUACAAUGGUUGUAUGUCUGACUAAUGAAAGUUGUCAGCUUAAUCUACUUCAUCAAAUACACUACUAACUAAAAUUCUACUUCUAUUUAGGAAGAGUGUUAGUAAUUGAUGAAAUAAUUCCAAAUUCUAUAACAGCAGUUUCAGAGGGCUUUUUACGCCACAACAUGAAGGCCGCAAGUUGCACACUAUACCUCAUCACUCAUGAACAGAAUAGCUUUAUAUGCACAGUAAAUAACAGCUAAAUUAAAUGGAAUGAGUAUUUUAGACAAGUUAGCAGUCCAGAUAAAUUUUGGGCCAUCUUUCUUAAAAUACGUUAGUCAGGUAGAGUUACUCUUCUCUCAAGAAAUGCAGUUACACCCUAACCUCAUGAUUUUCACAACUGUCUGGUAUUAAACUCACUCCAGCAGAGACAUGUUGAAUUCUGUAAUGUCAGGGAGCAUGACCGCCACCAUUUUGUAAUUCUAUUGCAUUUUUCUUCUCAUAUCAUGUACCAUUAUUUAAUUCCAUUUUGCCAUUCCUGUGUUGUGUGGGAUUCUGCCUGCAUGGCAUGACAGUUGAAAGUCUGGCACGGAUUCUUGACAGCUGUUUUGAAGUGAAGGCUGCGAUGCGUGCUACAUCUGGAGGUGCUGAGGUUUGAGUGCAGACAGUGGAAAAGUCCAAUUUCUCUUUAGGGAUGACUGGGAUAGAUUUACAAUAUCUAAGCUCUCAUUCAGGAAGGGGACUCCAUAAGGAUCUACUCAGGCAGAUGCCGUUGCAAAAUGAAAGCCAAAGAUUCUAUGGCACAUUUUGUGAUACUACAAAAUAAGUUAAAUUAAAACAAGUUAAAUAUUGAGUUAGAGGACUCAUGAACAUUGUCUAUACUAUCCUGAAGUGGCAGCCAAAAGAUAUCAGUUUUCUGUCUGAUUUCCUUCUAAUUUUUAAGAUAUGGUUUUGUUUAUUUAUUGUAUAUGAAAGUAAAGUUGGACCUAGGCUUCAGAUCAAACUCGAUGGAUGGCAGGAGAAUUGCUAAAAUGGUAAUACUAUCAAUGUCGGGAAA